GCUCUCAGGCAGCGAUACUGAUCCUCGUACUUUUCAAGUUGAGCUGGAGCACAGUGGAUGGUUAAGAUCUGAAGGGAAUGAGUGGGGCACUACCGCAACUUUGACAAGAACGCUCUUGCUGGAAUGCCGUGAUCAGCUGCCAAAACAAAGGAAUAGAAAUGGAAGAGUUAGAGGCAGUGUUAUGCUAGAGCUGUCCCUUAGCGAGCUGAUUUUAAAGCUUGAAAUCGGCCAUGGAUGAAUUCUUGGCCUGAAAAAGGGGAAUCAAAAGACGUGCUUUCCUGUGCUUCAGCUGCAAUGUCUAUUUCUCAAGACGCUGAAAAAGAUGAUUUAGAGUUUUAUGAUUAAUGGAAGGGAGGAAUCUACUCUAAAGAAAUUGGAUAAUACUAUAAAUAAGAAAUAAAAAUUAUUUGACAAAAGCUAUCUUCCCCUUAGGGAUUAUA
This 440-nucleotide long non-coding RNA is filed under the name Homo sapiens (human). RNAcentral's name for it is "HSALNT0322603". The record is from RNAcentral. Lineage: Eukaryota; Metazoa; Chordata; Mammalia; Primates; Hominidae.